This 89-nucleotide unclassified non-coding RNA is filed under the name Pseudomonas moraviensis. The record is from RNAcentral. Lineage: Bacteria; Pseudomonadati; Pseudomonadota; Gammaproteobacteria; Pseudomonadales; Pseudomonadaceae.
UGUAGGAGUGAGCCUGCUCGCGAUAGCGGUGUAUCAGUCAUUGAUGAAGUGACUGAUAAACCGUCAUCGCGAGCAGGCUCACUCCUACA